This 865-nucleotide ribosomal RNA is filed under the name uncultured bacterium. RNAcentral's name for it is "bacterial SSU rRNA". It matches the Rfam family "Bacterial small subunit ribosomal RNA", at positions 8 to 916 of the family's 1533-position model. The record is from RNAcentral.
AGAGUUUGAUCAUGGCUCAGGAUGAACGCUGGCGGCGUGGAUAAGGCAUGCAAGUCGAGGGCCCCGCAAGGGGACCGGCAGACGAGGUAGUAAUAAAUAGGUACGCACCCUGGAGUCGGGCAUAGCUAUCCGAAAGGAUAGGUAAUUCCCGAUAGUCUCGCAAGAGUAAAGUUUUUUCGCUCCGGGAGCGGCCUGUUCGGUAUCAGCUAGUUGGUAAGGUAACGGCUUACCAAGGCAAUGACACCUAGGGGACCUGAGAGGGUGACCCCCACCGAUGGGACUGAGACACGGCCCAUACACCUACGGGUGGCUGCAGUCGAGAAUUUUCCGCAAUGGGCGAAAGCCUGACGGAGCGACGCCGCGUGAAGGAUGAAGUUCUUCGGAACGUAAACUUCUUUUGCCAGGGACGAAAUUAUUGACGGUACCUGGAGAAUAAGAGGUUGCUAAACUCGUGCCAGCAGCAGCGGUAAUACGAGUGCCUCAAGCGUUAUCCGGAAUCAUUGGGCGUAAAGGGUGUGUAGGCGGUUUUGUUAGUCUCCUGUAAAAUCUCUCGGCUCAACCGAGAGUCUGCGGGGGAAACGGCAAGACUUAGAGGACGGAAGAGGUCUCUGGAACUCAUGGUGUAGCGGUGAAAUGCGUUGAUAUCAUGGGGAACACCAAAAGCGAAGGCAAGAGACUGGUCCACUCCUGACGCUGAAACACGAAAGCGUGGGUCGCGAAUGGGAUUAGAUACCCCAGUAGUCCACGCCCUAAACGAUGAUCUCUAGCUUUGAGGAGUAUCGACCCUCUUCGAGGCCAAGCAAACGCGAUAAGAGAUCCGCCUGGGUAGUACGGCCGCAAGGUUGAAACUCAAAGGAAUUGACGG